This 378-nucleotide ribosomal RNA is filed under the name Triticum aestivum (bread wheat). Its description in RNAcentral is "partial small subunit ribosomal RNA". The record is from RNAcentral. Lineage: Eukaryota; Viridiplantae; Streptophyta; Magnoliopsida; Poales; Poaceae.
AUGCGCGCGACACCGGCAUGGGCGCGGGUGCUUAUGCAAGACGACCAUCCAAUGGCUUACCUCAGCAAGGCUCUUAGAGUGCGCAACCAGAAGCUCUCCACAUACGAGAAGGAAUUUCUUGCUGUGAUGAUGGCCAUCGACAAGUGGCGACCGUACCUGCAACAUGCUCCGUUCGAGAUAGUCACUGACCACAAGAGUCUUUGUGCACUCAACGAUCAACAACUGAUCACCGAUCUCCAACGCAAGGCCAUGUCCAAGAUGGUGGGGCUGCAGUUCUCCUUCCGCUACAGGAAGGGCGUCGACAACAGUGUUGUCGAUGGGUUGUCCCACGCCGGUCACCUCCUGGAGCUCGAUGCAUUGUCCAUUUGCCAACCAUAG